Mercenaria mercenaria is the source of this 4951-nucleotide long non-coding RNA. RefSeq lists it as uncharacterized. NCBI's taxonomy places the organism in Eukaryota, Metazoa, Mollusca, Bivalvia, Venerida, Veneridae. The transcript has 2 exons. The record is from RefSeq and is a predicted model, not a curated record.
CACCUUUAAACACACAUCUGGGGUUUAUUUUUGAUUACACCAGCACAUAAAUUUGUGAAGUUUCAAUUUCGAACACUGCGAAUUUUGCCUUUGGGGACAUGUUUUCAAAGAACUAUACAAGUGACGUACUUUAGGGUUAUAAUAUACCCCAAAAAUAAGUCGACAAUUCGUUUCUCUGCCUUUCUUUCAAUUCACCGGAAGCAUUUUGAUGUUGACCGGUACUUUUCCAUCAUUUAUUUUAACAAGCUGCAUGCUAAUGAAAUUGAAUGACCAUAUUGUAAACCUGUCAAUCGUGACCUUCACCUCGGAAAUGAAAGGAGAAAAAUUUCGACAUUAUUAGUUGAAUAGUUAUAUUUUGACGUAUUUAUAGCAUUUGAAACUGUUAAACAUGUGUAUGUGGUUUAAUACAGAUUUGCUUAAAUGCAGUUUAUUUUACAAACACGUCAUGGGGCUAUUGGCUAUAUCCUUUCCGCAGCCUUAACGUAAUAAAACAUAUUAGCGUCUGAUGACCCUUUCACGCUUCCAUAGAAUCAACAUUUAUUACACAAAAUUAAUUUUGAAAAUAUUUCUGAAAUGUCUAGGUCUGCAGUUCUCAAAUAUGGUUAUAUCUUAAAUCCAAGGCAUACAUGUAUACAGACACUCUCAGACAACAUCAAAAACAACCUUUUGAAUGAUUUGAUGAAGUUCUAAAAUUAUCAGUGUACCCUUGGUCCGUGACGGACCCAUUUGGGAUUUGUGGGUAUCUGAGCUCAACUAUCAUUUUGUAGAUGAAAAGCUGACAUGCCGUACUAAAGCCCAGGUAAUUUUAGUUUCAAUUUGUUACCAUGAGCGUCCAGAUGGGGUGACCCCUGCGCGUGACCCCUGACUAUCUACGAAUCAAAUAUGGCUUUCGUUUUCAAGCUUAGCAUUUCUACUUUCAUUUUCUUUUCUUCCGCAAAAAGCUUAAGGUCGAGUGACUCACUUUUUGUGUUGUCAAAAACAUAUAUAUAUAUGCCUGGCGAGAUUGCAAUGCAUAAAUAUGUGCUGGCUGUCCUAAGGUUAUGAAAAAAUCUCUCAGUAUUUCCUAGGAUCACAUCAAAUUGGAGUAGCCCAGAUCUCUACUCUAGACCGAAUUCCGGUAUUGUAUGUUAUGGUAUAGGACUUGAAUAUUAAAACAGCAAGAAAGAAUGUAGACGGCCGUGUAGCUCAGUCAGUAGAGCAUCAGAACAGUAUUAUGAGGCCCCCAGGUUUGAGUCCUGGUCUGGCUGCACAUUUUUCUCACCCUUUGACAUUUGGCGCCCAGCUUUGGGCGGUGAUGGUAUUACACUGGCUAGUCUCCUAUGCCUGUAAUUGCUUAUAUAUACUUAAGUACCUGCUGAAAAAAAAUUUAAGGACAAAUUUCAAAAUGGUGGGGAAAUAUGUCACGGUAUAGGACUUGAAUAUCUAAACGGGGAGAAAGUGUGUAGGCGGCAGGGUAGCUCAGUUGGUAGAAUAUCUGAAAGGUAUUCCGAGGCCCUGGGUUCGAAUCCCGGUCUGACUGCACUUAUUACUAACCUUGUAACAUGUGUUCAUAACCAGUGUUUAAAGUAAUUGCUCUACUAGUAUUAGUUAUGACUAGUUGUCAUAGGAUUGUCAUUACGGGUUGUUUUUGUAAAUAUUUCAUCUAUAACAUUAGCUCUUGCUGAUGUUUAAAGUAUAUUUAAAUAUGUAAUUUUAUCUGAAGAAAAGUCUAGUUGAAUUAAGAGAAAAAAGUCUCUCAGUGAAAAUGAAAAAAUCUGUUUUAAAGCCUUACUUGAUUACAGGCUGAUAAAUAAAAUCUAUAACUCAGUGUAAGUUCUGUAACUACCAUUUAUUGUCAUGAGUACAUUAGAUUUGUUUUGACUGAAUAUUAACAUUUUGGUAUUGACUAAAAAGUUUAUUAUCAGCUUUGUAGGUUAAAUUUAUAUUUGAUGCAUUUUUUUUUGUUACAGAUGUGUGUGCAAUUCCACAUCUGAGCACUGUAAGGUCUGGCAGCAAAAUAAAGAUAUAUUCAAAUGGAUCUUGUGCUGUGUCUCACAUCUGACAUCAUACUAGAAAAGGGUCAUGUAAACGUAACAAAAAGUCAUGCGAAUGGACAUCAAAAUGUUGACACAGAUCGGUAUUUGAGACUUAAAUAUUCAGGAUAUAACUUCAUAAAACUGGCGGAUAAACCAAACUGCGAAGGUGCUUUCGAAUGGCAAGUAAAACAGUUGUGUCUCUUCGUAGGAACGAUGAUACAAUAUUUACGUAUGCAUUCAAAUGAUGCUGUUCAAGGUAACAAGAAGAAGUUAACAUUUGGCAGUGUGAGAAAGGAAAUUUACUUCUGCAUGACGGGAAAAUGAUAUUUGCAUGCAUAUUUUAUCGGAGGCAGCUGCAAAACCACCAACAGGAAACUCUUUUUGAUAUUAUGUUGUGAUAGACUAUUUGACUGUUUUCGGCCCGCUUUGGCGAGACGGUAUUACGAUAGUUUUAUAAGAAAAUCUGCGAUAAAGUCCGGAAAUCUCGCUUGUGGAGAGAAGAAACUCGAUUAUGAUGUUCCCGCUAAGGAAAAAGAAAUCUUGCGUCGAACCAGAAGCUGUGUGAAUACAUCCCCGAGAAGAAAGUCACUACGUCGGCCAGCUGCAGUUUUUUACCAUCAUCUGAAGAUAGUGUCUUUCAGGAAUAAAGGCUUUUGGCUGGACCAGCUACUCUGCCUAACUGUGACCUCAUUUUCUCUGUCUCUCCUUCCGGUGGUGCUCAAAUUCCGGAGCUCUCGAUCCAUAGGCAGACGCCAUACGACUGAGCUAUCAUGGCACACGAUUCCGUUAACAGUGCUGUGAUUGUGUCUAAUUGUAGACCGAUGUUUAAAAAUGUUAAAAUAAUUAUUUACGACGUUAAGUCAGCAACAGCCACAUGCUAGCGUUUUUAUAAAACUAAGCUUGUUUUACAAUUAAUGUGCGAAGCCACUGCUGCAGACGACAAUUUAUAUUGGAAGCGAGACAAGAACAGACGAAUACAAUACAUAUCACUUCGCGCUAAGGUAACCACGUAGACAGUUUGUUGAGGUAUUGACUCAUUAAAGCUAUUUUGACCUUGUCUGCACAAUAGCAGCUUCAUUUACGAUUUGACUCUAACUAAACUUGCGCACAACUUGUAACACCACAAGAUCUUGGUUCCAUUCUUGAACUGGGCAGAUUCCAUCAUGGAUUCUAUAGAGUUAUGGCCCCCCAAAGGUCCCAAAUUGGCUAUGUUGGCCUUUCCAACCAUAUAGAGAUUUCUUUUAUGGUUUGACUUGAUACGAACUUCCAAAAUAGCUUCAACAACAAUAAAUCUUGGAUUCCAUGAGUUAUCUUAUAUGUGAUUACCUCCCCUGAUUGUCAUCAAAAUGGAUUUAUAUCAGUAAGUACUUAUAGGACUUAUUUGAAAUUUCAUUAUUGUCUUACUGGCUUACGGAAGGUCGGUGGUUCUACCCAGAUGCCCGCUCCUGAUGAAAUAGUGCACGGAGGGGCACCUGGGGUCUUCCUCCACCAUUAAAAGCUGGAAAGUCGCCAUAUGACCUAAAAUUGUGUCGGCGCGACAUUAAACCCAACAAAAUAAAAAAAUAAAAUCAUUAUUGUCAUUAAUUGGAUUGAGACAAUCAGGGUAGGUAACUAUGGACUGAUUUCAAAUUACCUCCCUUUAUUUGAAAUUAAAAUGGAUAUAUCUCCGUAACCAACAAAGAUAAUGAUUUGAAAUUGCAUUUAUGUCAACAGACAGACUUGGACAAUCACUGAAGAUACAUAUUGGCUGAAUUUUUGACAAAUUACCUCCCUUUAUUUUUUAUCUAAAUGAGGACACCUUAGCAUCUUCAAAUGAGAUUUGUUUGAAACGUUAUUUAUGUCUUUCAUGGUAAGAAAUAAUCGUAUUAGGUAACUUUUGAUAGAACAUUUAUCGAUAUAAAUACUUUACUAAUAUAUUGUUGUAUAGGCUUGUACUCUGUAUCUUCUACAUGCAUAUACCAAUGCAUCAUUACCUCCCCUGAUUUUAAUAAAAAUGGAUGUUGAUAGAACUCAUUUGGAAUGUCAUUAUUGUUUUUAGUUUGACUAAGGCAACCAGGGUAGAUAGUGUGGACUGAUUUUAUAUCAAAUUACCUCCCUUUGUAGCCCGCCCGCUUAGCUCAGUAGGUAAGAGCGUUGGUCUACGGAUCUCGGGGUCGCGAGUUCGAUCCUCGGGCGGGGCGUAUAUUCUCCGUGACUAUUUGAUAAACGAUAUUGUGUCUGAAAUCAUUAGUCCUCCACCUCUGAUUCAUGCGGGGAAGUUGGCAGUUACUUGCGGAGAACAGGUUUGUACUGGUACAGAAUCCAGGAAUACUGGUUAGGUUAACUGCCCGCCGUUACAUGACUGAAAUACUGUUGAAAAACGGCGUUAAACCCAAAACAAACAAACAAAAACCUCCCUUUGUUUCAAAUUAAAAUGGUUGUAUCUCAGUAACCAAUGAAGACACUGAUUUGAAAUGUCAUUUGUGCCAUCAGAUGGACUCGAACAAUCGGGGUAGAUAACUUUUGACUGAAUUUAUGACAAAUUACCUCCCUUUAUUAUUUGUAAACGAAUAUAUAAGUAUGUAAGGAAUAUCGUGUUAGUAAAAAAAAUGCAGCAUUUGAGCCUAGGACCCUCUAUGUCAAAACUUGAUAAUAUCAUUUUGAGCAAUGGUACUCCGGUGAGCGAUACAGGGCCAUCAUGGCCCUCUGGUUUAUUUUUGUAAUUGGAAAACGCACCACGUAGAGGUUGCUUAUUACGAAAAUGAUAUUUUUGUUUUAAAAGAUAAUUACUUUAAAAUAUUUUGUGUUUUUAGGAUAGAUGAUACAUUGGGUUUUAUCACAUGACGUGUUUAAAACAUGUAAAGGUAGCUGUUCCUGUUUUAUUUUUCUUCUUACUGUAUUUUCUUUCGAUAUAAAUAAUAUUUUAUAGUAUCAAUAAAGUUGAUGUUUCAUGUUGA